This 253-nucleotide ribosomal RNA is filed under the name uncultured Chondromyces sp. Its description in RNAcentral is "partial 16S ribosomal RNA". It matches the Rfam family "Bacterial small subunit ribosomal RNA", at positions 524 to 776 of the family's 1533-position model. Lineage: Bacteria; Pseudomonadati; Myxococcota; Polyangiales; Polyangiaceae. The record is from RNAcentral.
GACAGAGGGUGCAAACGUUGUUCGGAAUUACUGGGCGUAAAGCGCGUGUAGGCGGUAAGGCAAGUCGGGUGUGAAAGCCCUGGGCUCAACCCAGGAAGUGCAUUCGAUACUGCCAAACUAGAGUCCCGGAGAGGAUGGUGGAACUCUCGGUGUAGAGGUGAAAUUCGUAGAUAUCGAGAAGAACACCGGUGGCGAAGGCGGCCAUCUGGACGGUGACUGACGCUGAGACGCGAAAGCGUGGGGAGCAAACAGG